UCUGUUUAUCUUUCUUCUUCGUUUGAAACUCUUGGCCUCUUCUCAUUAUCGCGCAACCACGGACGGAUCAGAAAGUUUCUUAUUUCUCUCGAUCUCCAUCCAAACCAUGAGCACCGGUCGAUCAACGGCUCACACAUGCGUCUUCUGGGACGUCCAGGAUUUCCCGGUCCCUAAUGGUCGCGAUCCUGAUUCUAUUUAUGAGAAUAUAAAAUCAGCUCUUGCGAAUAAGGGGUUUGGUGGUGGUAUUGUGCAUAUCAGGGCUUAUGGUGAGAAAAACAAGAUUUGGGAUGAAUUUUUAUUAGACGGAAUCAUGGAUGUACCCGAAGGUAGAUAGAGACCUCUCCGUGUUCUUUUUGUUUUUUUUUUCUAUGGUUCCAGGAGAUAAAGUUGCCAGAGUAAGUAGGAUGAUAAAGGACGUUCUUCUCUGGGCACUGGACAAUCGUGUACACCCAUCUGUACAACGAAACGUGAUGGUUAUCUCAAAAAACAUUGCACAAGAUUUGGAGUUCCUCUCCGUUCUUCAAGGUUUGCAAUCUAGAGAUUACAAAAUUCUCUUGGCUGAUGUCGCAUCAGUAAAGCAACCUGAGUUUGUAAGCGCGGAAUGGCUUUGGAGGAGCCUCUUAGAUGGAGGAGGAGAUCCUAUCGCCACUAGUGACGAAAUAUCACCAUCUGUUAACGACGAUGAUGAUAACCUGAAGCGUAAGGACCACACUACUGCAAAAGCCACUGAUAAGCGAAGCUCAAAACAUAAGCGGAGGAAAUUUUCAAACUAGCUUCAAUCAAUCUCUCUUUAUGGAUGAUCCGUUUCUUUUUUUUUAUCUCUAUUAUGAAGUCUUAUGGUUUUGUGUGUAUUAAAAACGUUAGACAUUU
Non-coding RNA from Camelina sativa (false flax), 870 nucleotides. The record is from RefSeq and is a predicted model, not a curated record. Lineage: Eukaryota; Viridiplantae; Streptophyta; Magnoliopsida; Brassicales; Brassicaceae.